Molecule: ribosomal RNA, 445 nt
Filed under: uncultured bacterium
Lineage: Bacteria
Description: partial 16S ribosomal RNA
Rfam family: Bacterial small subunit ribosomal RNA
Source: RNAcentral
GUGAGGAAUAUUGGUCAAUGGGCGGAAGCCUGAACCAGCCAUGCCGCGUGAAGGAUGAAGGUUCUAUGGAUUGUAAACUUCUUUUAUUUGGGAAUAAACCCUCCGACGUGUUGGAGGCUGAAGGUACCAAAUGAAUAAGCACCGGCUAACUCCGUGCCAGCAGCCGCGGUAAUACGGAGGGUGCAAGCGUUAUCCGGAAUCAUUGGGUUUAAAGGGUCCGCAGGCGGAUUUAUAAGUCAGUGGUGAAAGCCUACAGCUCAACUGUAGAACUGCCAUUGAUACUGUAAGUCUUGAAUUCGGUCGAAGUGGGCGGAAUAUGACAUGUAGCGGUGAAAUGCAUAGAUAUGUCAUAGAACACCGAUAGCGAAGGCAGCUCACUAGGCCUGAAUUGACGCUCAUGGACGAAAGCGUGGGGAGCAAACAGGAUUAGAAACCCGGGUAGUCC